Molecule: ribosomal RNA, 497 nt
Filed under: uncultured bacterium
Lineage: Bacteria
Description: partial 16S ribosomal RNA
Rfam family: Bacterial small subunit ribosomal RNA
Source: RNAcentral
GAUGAACGCUGGCGGCGUGCCUAAUACAUGCAAGUCGAGCGAACAGACGAGGAGCUUGCUCCUCUGACGUUAACGGCGGACGGGUGAGUAACACGUGGAUAACCUACCUAUAAGACUGGGAUAACUUCGGGAAACCGGAGCUAAUACCGGAUAAUAUAUUGAACCGCAUGGUUCAAUAGUGAAAGACGGUUUUGCUGUCACUUAUAGAUUGAUCCGCGCCGCAUUAGCUAGUUGGUAAGGUAACGGCUUACCAAGGCAACGAUGCGUAGCCGACCUGAGAGGGUGAUCGGCCACACUGGAACUGAGACACGGUCCAGACUCCUACGGGAGGCAGCAGUAGGGAAUCUUCCGCAAUGGGCGAAAGCCUGACGGAGCAACGCCGCGUGAGUGAUGAAGGUCUUCGGAUCGUAAAACUCUGUUAUUAGGGAAGAACAAAUGUGUAAGUAACUAUGCACGUCUUGACGGUACCUAAUCAGAAAGCCACGGCUAACUACGUG